CCGUCCUUUUAUCAUUUUGGUUCGAAAAAACGACCGAUAAGUAGUAGUCUCUCGUGUUGCUGGUUUGAUCUCGAGCUCCAAAAGGGAGAAGAAGAAGACAAUAACCAAAAUAAGAAAUCAAAUUGCGCAAAAAUGAGGCGGCAGGUACAGUAUGCUGAUCCUGGUGCCAAUGCAUAUGCUGGUGCUCAGAUGCAGCGUAUUUCUGCUCAGAGGAUGGAAAACAGGUCUGAUACUGAUCAUUUCCAAGGACGACUAGAGGCCUUCACUCCUGAGAGAGAGCGCCCAUAUGCAACUUUAAAAGCAGAAGGACAAUGGAGAUGGGAAAGAGAUGAAUCAAAAGUUUCAAAUCCGAUGGCAUCACAAAGUUUCAGUGAAGGUCAAGGGGUUGAUGCAUCAAGAUCCUAUUUUCAGGGAAAGGGGCCAGGGCCAGGACCAGAGCCAAAACUAGCAUUAGAGAAGCAAGGCGUUAAUGAUCCUAGAUUUGGACCACAUGAAGGAGACAUGCAAAAUGGCUUUGAAGAAAAACCUUUGUUGCAGACUUUUGAAGGAAUUGAGCAGAAAUUCCUUGAUGACAUUGUAAAACUAGCCAAGGAACAGAAUGACACUGAGGAUGCAGAAAAUGCCAGACACAGAGAGAAGUUAAAUGC
Molecule: unclassified non-coding RNA, 647 nt
Filed under: Hevea brasiliensis (rubber tree)
Lineage: Eukaryota; Viridiplantae; Streptophyta; Magnoliopsida; Malpighiales; Euphorbiaceae
Source: RNAcentral